GUGCCAGCCGCCGCGGUAAUACGUAGGGCGCAAGCGUUAUCCGGAAUUAUUGGGCGUAAAGAGCUCGUAGGCGGUUUGUCACGUCUGCUGUGAAAACCCGAGGCUCAACCUCGGGCCUGCAGUGGGUACGGGCAGACUAGAGUGCGGUAGGGGAGAUUGGAAUUCCUGGUGUAGCGGUGGAAUGCGCAGAUAUCAGGAGGAACACCGAUGGCGAAGGCAGAUCUCUGGGCCGUAACUGACGCUGAGGAGCGAAAGGGUGGGGAGCAAACAGGCUUAGAUACCCUGGUAGUCCACCCCGUAAACGUUGGGAACUAGUUGUGGGGUCCAUUCCACGGAUUCCGUGACGCAGCUAACGCAUUAAGUUCCCCGCCUGGGGAGUACGGCCGCAAGGCUAAAACUCAAAGAAAUUGACGG
This 414-nucleotide ribosomal RNA is filed under the name uncultured bacterium. Its description in RNAcentral is "bacterial SSU rRNA". It matches the Rfam family "Bacterial small subunit ribosomal RNA", at positions 505 to 916 of the family's 1533-position model. The record is from RNAcentral.